AUGAACGCUGGCGGCGUGCCUAAUACCUGCAAGUCGAGCGAACAGACGAGGAGCUUGCUCCUCUGACGUUAGCGGCGGACGGGUGAGUAACACAUGGAUAACCUACCUAUAAGACUGGGAUAACUUCGGGAAACCGGAGCUAAUACCGGAUAAUAUAUUGAACCGCAUGGUUCAAUAGUGAAAGACGGUUUUGCUGUCACUUAUAGAUGGAUCCGCGCCGCAUUAGCUAGUUGGUAAGGUAACGGCUUACCAAGGCAACGAUGCGUAGCCGACCUGAGAGGGUGAUCGGCCACACUGGAACUGAGACACGGUCCAGACUCCUACGGGAGGCAGCAGUAGGGAAUCUUCCGCAAUGGGCGAAAGCCUGACGGAGCAACGCCGCGUGAGUGAUGAAGGUCUUCGGAUCGUAAAACUCUGUUAUUAGGGAAGAACAAAUGUGUAAGUAACUAUGCACGUCUUGACGGUACCUAAUCAGAAAGCCACGGCUAACUACGUG
RNAcentral lists this ribosomal RNA (496 nucleotides) under uncultured bacterium. RNAcentral describes it as "partial 16S ribosomal RNA". It matches the Rfam family "Bacterial small subunit ribosomal RNA", at positions 29 to 507 of the family's 1533-position model. The record is from RNAcentral.